UACGUAGGGUGCGAGCGUUAAUCGGAAUUACUGGGCGUAAAGCGUGCGCAGGCGGUUCGUUAAGUCAGCUGUGAAAGCCCCGGGCUCAACCUGGGAACUGCGGUUGAAACUGGCGAACUAGAAUCUGGCAGAGGGGGGUGGAAUUCCACGUGUAGCAGUGAAAUGCGUAGAGAUGUGGAGGAACACCGGUGGCGAAGGCGGGUCUCUGGGCAGUAACUGACGCUGAGGAGCGAAAGCGUGGGGAGCGAACAGG
This 253-nucleotide ribosomal RNA is filed under the name uncultured bacterium. RNAcentral describes it as "partial 16S ribosomal RNA". It matches the Rfam family "Bacterial small subunit ribosomal RNA", at positions 524 to 776 of the family's 1533-position model. The record is from RNAcentral.